RNAcentral lists this small nuclear RNA (316 nucleotides) under Notechis scutatus (mainland tiger snake). RNAcentral's name for it is "7SK RNA (ENSNSUG00000011403.1)". It matches the Rfam family "7SK RNA". Rfam says of the family: 7SK was discovered as an abundant small nuclear RNA in the mid-70s but a possible function has only recently been suggested. Two independent studies have found that 7SK RNA binds the CDK9/cyclin T complex (known as elongation factor P-TEFb). P-TEFb activates transcription by phosphorylating the C-terminal domain of RNA polymerase II. Lineage: Eukaryota; Metazoa; Chordata; Lepidosauria; Squamata; Elapidae. The record is from Rfam by way of RNAcentral.
GGAUAUGUGGGCAAUUUGGCUGUGACAUUUGUAUCCCCAUUGAUCACCACAGUUGAUUUGGCUGAUUGGACUGGCUAGGUAUGUGUCCUCUUUCUUCCUCACCACCCUUUGUGUGUCCCUCUCAAAGCCGCAUGCUUGGUGGAAAAAGAUGACUAUCCAAGAUAGAAGUUGCAUACUGAUCUUCAGACAAAGGUAUAUGAUAGAUGGACUCCUCUGCUAGAACCUCCAAACAAACCUUAAACAGAGAAGUCAGACACAGGAAGACACAGGAAGACCUGACCAUAUCAUGACUUCCAACAAUGCUGUUGUCAGCAUU